RNAcentral lists this ribosomal RNA (338 nucleotides) under Enterobacter cloacae. Its description in RNAcentral is "partial 16S ribosomal RNA". It matches the Rfam family "Bacterial small subunit ribosomal RNA", at positions 1192 to 1531 of the family's 1533-position model. The record is from RNAcentral. Lineage: Bacteria; Pseudomonadati; Pseudomonadota; Gammaproteobacteria; Enterobacterales; Enterobacteriaceae.
CCCAURGUCUUMGAGUAGGGCUACACACKUGCUACAAUGGCGCAYACAAAGAGAAKCGACCUCSCGAGAGCAARCGGACCUCAUAAAGUGCGUCKUAGUCCGGAUUGGAGUCUGCAACUCRACUCCAUGAAGUCGGAAUCSCUAGUAAUCGUGGAUCASAAUGCCACGGUGAAUACRUUCCCGGGCCWUGUACACAMCGCCCGUCACACCRUGGGAGUGGGUUGCAAAAGAAGUAGGUAGCUUAACCUUCGGGAGGGCGCUUACCACUUUGUGAUUCAUGACUGGGGUGAAGUCGUAACAAGGUAACCGUAGGGGAACCUGAGGUUGGAUCACCUCCU